AUCUCUAUAUACGUAUAGUAAAAGUAAUGCCCACCUUAAACGUUCUUAUAGCUGGCGUGGAGUCACUUCUUUUUCAGCUUCGUUUCUGUCGCCGGGACCUUCAUUAAUGAAGAGUCGAUAAGUUCGUGAAGAAAUUGUCAUAAGACAAAGUCUAAUUUUUUGUGCCUAGGGUAUCUUUUAGUGUUUUAGGGUUCUAGCAUCCAUAAUUCGUUCCCUUAAGACAAUCAAAAACCAACAUAAUCUUGACUAGUCAUAUAACCUCACGGGAAUCACAUAACAAACAAGAUAAAAGAAAUCAAUAUCCUUAACUUAUUAUCAUUUUAAAAAAAAUCACAUGCUCACAUAAGCGAUAAAAAUCAUGCACCAUUUCAUUAUUCAUUUACAUAUAAUUUAAAUAAGACAUUUUAAAUCCCAUUGAGAUGAAAUAAAAAUAUUUUAACCAUUUAAAAUCCAUACUCAUAAAGCCUUGAAAUAUUAUAAUAAAUGAGGGCUUAAUCCCAAAGUAUUCAUUUUAAAGUCCAUCAAUAAAUUUAUAUAUAAGAACGAACUUCAUUUAAAAUAAUAGUCCCAUCUUUCAAUAUUAACAUUUAAAUCAAGAGAUUUAAAUUCACUAAAAUAAUUUAGUGAAAAUUCAAACAUUUUUAAAAGAAAUAAAGCCAAAAUUUCGUAGACUUUAUUAUUCAAUUAACAGUCCAAAAUUAAUUAAAAUUGGGCCCAAUCAAUGAAAUAAAAAUACCCAUCAGCUUUAAAAUAAAAUGGGACCAGUACAUUUUAUUAAUAAAAUCGGCCCAUUCAUAUUUGAGGGCUUAAGCCCAUUUAAAACCAUAUCCCUAACAUACAUAUACACACAUAACACACAACAUCAGCCUCCCCCUUUCUCUCUGCCCCUCUGCUCGGUCGAGUGCAGCGCCGCCUCCGGCGCGCCGCCUCACCGAGCGUCUCCCUUCUCUCUCUCAUUCUCUCUGUUCUCUUUCGUCCGCCCCUCUCUCUCUGUUCUUUCUCCCUCGCCGGUAAUCGAUGCAUGCGCCGCCUUGAUGACCACAGCCGCCGCCUCGCCGUGAAGGAGCUCGGCCGCCGUCCGUCUGGUCUUCCUCCUUCGGCCUCUGCUCGGAAAAGGGCGCGCGGUAGCCUCCUCUCCAUCCCCUCGUCUGGAACAGGGCAUCUGCCCUCUCCGCCAUAGGGAGCGCACGGCCGCCGCCUGGCCGCCUCCUCCGUCUUCUUUCGUCGCCGGACUCACAGGUAAGCCCUAGCUUCUUCUCCCUUCGUUUCUUCUCUUUUUCUUCUUCCCCGUUUUUCUUUUCUUUAACCUAAUCUCUCCCCCUCUUCCCUCCUCUCUCGUUUCUAACAGUAAAAGGAAAAAGGCGGCGGCUGCCGCCUCGCCGCCUCCGGCCGUGAGCAGCCGCCGGCUGCUCUCACCCCCAUCACUCCGUUCCCGGACACACACAAGACAAAGUACAAGAACCCCCAAAUUUUCAGUCCAGAAAACACACAAAGAGCGAAGUUAGGGUUUUUCCCAAAACUGUUCUUUCAUCAAUUCAUUCUUGUUUAUUCUAUAAAAAUCAAAUCUUGUACUUGUAAUAGUUAGAAAAUGAAGUGAUGAUGAAUGUGUGUGUUCGUUGCUGCCUCUUUUUUUUUUUUUUGAUGCUUGAUCCAUAAUUUCAUAAGAUAAGUGGGGAGGAAUUGGAGUAACCUUGAUGUUGGUGGUAUUUGGUAUUUAGAUGGAAUCUGUGAAUUGUAAAUCAAGCAUAAGAACAUAUAACUUGGAUCAGAAUGUUAGAAACUGGAAAAUUUAAUGGUGGUUUAACAAUUAAUCACCUUUAUUCUUGAUUUGGAAACUUGAAGGCAGCCAAAACUUGGGACUGAUUUUGGAGAUCUGGAACCGAUUUGGAAGAUUUGGACAUUGAAGGCAGCCGAAAGUUGGGAUAGGAAUAUGAGAAAAUGGUGCUUUAGAGAUUAGAGAGAGAGUGUGUCUUAGUGAGUAAGCUAAACUUUUGGAUAAGAAAAAGGCUUAAUGAGGAAGCCAAACCUUUGAUUUGGAUAAGAAUAAAAGGAUAUUUUGGAAUUACUAAUAAAAUAAGGCAAGUUGGUGAUUAUGGGAUUGAAGCAAAAAUAAAGUAAGUGAAUGGAUGUGAGGUUAAAAUAAAUUAAGGAAAGUAAGUGCAUAUUAAUCACUUAAAAUAAAACUCAUGACCUUAAUAAAUAAGUAAAAAUGAUCUUUAAUAAAAUCAUUGUAAUAAAACCCUUGAUAAAAAAAUAUAAUAAUCCAUUUAAAAGAAAAUUCAUGACUUCAUGCCCAAUUUAAAAAUCCAUGCGGUUCGUAUAAAUACACUCAACUCACGAAUUAAAACUUAUGCACCACAUUUAUAAAAAUUCUUUAAAUCACAAACGGAUUCAAAUAAUAAUAAGAAAAACACAUCAAAACACAUAUAUAACAAUUAAAUCACAUCAGAUAAAUCAAACCACUUUUUAUUAUUAAUGGAUGCCGAACCCUAAUUAUUAAUAAUUAAGCUUUUAAUCAGUGAUUAAAAGCCAGGAUAUGACACUUUUAGAAGAUGCCGAAGUCAUGGUGAGAGCAAUCACAGUGCUAGCAGAUUUUGUGGUGCUCGAGGCAGGGCAAGGUAUUACCGGAGAGAAUGGGCAGCUUGUUCUACUUGGCCGGCCUUUUAUGGCUACUACUCAGACGCGCAUUGAUGUGGGUUCUGGAACCUUGAGUAUGGUUGUAACACCCCGUACUUUUCCUUAUUUAGAAAUAGUGUCUUAACACUAUUGAGAGUACUGAGAUAUUGAGAUGCUAGAUUUUUUUUUAUGACCAGAUAAGACAGAUUGUCUUUUAAAUAGAGAUAUGAGUGGACAAACCAAAGAUAGAAUUAGAGUGAAGAGAUUUGAUAAAUGAGUUGAGGUAGAGAUGCUGAUUGAAUUGAGCUGAGAUUUUAUUUUAUUUCCAACUACCGGGAAUAGAAUUACCGGAUACCGAGUUAUCAGAGAGAUUGACUGUCCUAUUAAGAAAAUAGGAAUAAUGAGUUGGAAAUAGAGUCGAGAAAAAAAGAGUGAGAACCCUUGAUGAAAAGAGUCGGUCUGAGAGACGUUUAGUUUGUCCGUGUUUUGCCGAUUGCUUUGACGUGAUAUUAUGUGAAUUUACGUGACUGAUUGAUUAUGUGAUUUUGUUACGUGUGCCAUUAUGAGCAAGUUAUUAUGAUUUUUUUUGUUGAGAACUUUAGCGCUUGAAAUUUUAAUUGAGUUUUCAAAGUAAGUGCGAUUUAUUUUUACCGAGAAAUCAAAGAAUGCCUGUCGCAGCCCGCCGCCUAGCCAGUGAUAGCGUAGACCGGGUAUCGAUACGACUAAAUAAUUUAAUAAGGUAAAAAGAGAAAACUAGAUCGAACGUCAAGCGGAAGCAAUCUCUGAAACGUGAUAAAUCAAGAAAGAUGACAUCAUCAUCAAUAAAAAUAUUAUUGGCUUUAUAACUUUUAAAUCAUCGAGAUUCUUGUCAACCUUUACAAAGUAGACAUAGCUAAUUACUCACAAUGACUCGGGGUAUACAGAGUAUUGCAGCAAAAUGCGAACAGACUAUAUGUAUGAAGACAUAUAGCCGAGAGUAAAUUUCUUGAUUAAGUUUAAAAUAAACCUCAACAUCUUGAUGUUACCGCAAGGAAUAUAAUUACGGUAUAAUGAAGAUCAUCCGAAACAAAAUCCCUGCCAGCACCAGUCCAAUCUCCCUCCUCGCUUAUCCUGCACGUUUAGAAAUACAUGCAGGGCUGAGUACAGAAUACUCAGUGGACAUAUGCCGAAAAUCAAUGAAAACUAGCUCUUAGAGCUAUAGAUUGAACUUGCCACAUAAGCAAUACACGGGGAUUUUACUCAAAAGAACCCGUGUAAGCAGUUAACAAUCAUAAACAUCAUAAAUAAAUGACCGGUCAAAAUUCUCGUUAUGUAUGUACCACAUCUACAAAUCAUCAUCAUUUAAGGUACUGAGAAGUAGGCCUCCUUCUCAAGUACCGUGACCGGCCGACCCGAAGGACAGCUCACGGUCACCUCUGUGUACACAAUCCCGCUUGUGGCAGGACCCGAAUUCGUCUCAUCAGUAGAGGGUGACAUACAGGCUCGUCGUCAUCAAAACUUGGCAAGUCAAUUAGUUCAACAUCAAUAAAUCUCAAAAUAUUUAUCAGACUCAUAAACAUCAUCAACAGUAAUAAUUUUCAUCAAACUGAAAUUGACAGUUAAAUCACAUCAUUUAUUUCAUUUCGUAUAAGAGGCCUACGAUACGCAGGGGAUCUCUAUAUACGUAUAGUAAAAAUAAUGCCCACCUGAUGUCCUAGCUUACUCUCGUAGCGUUCGGGGUGGACUCACUUCCGUCCUCUGCUCGCAUCUUCAGAUAUCAUAACAUCGAAUAUAGUUCAUGGGGUAAAACAAAAGGAAUCGGUCAGAAACUUCCUUACUAAGAAUAUCAUUCUAUCUUAGUAAUAUUACAUUACUUCUCAUUUCUACACUCCGUCUCACUCGAUCUCAUAUCGUAAACACUUUCUAAGUAAUCACUACUUUAUUCUUGACUUAUCUCCUAAUGUAGGUCUAAACUCUGUCAAGGAACAACUCAUAGAUAAACAAUCCAUAAGCACAUAGCAAUCACAUAAACAAACUCAUUUUUGAAAAAUAAAAUAUUUUUAGUCGGGGAAAUUUCCCAAAAAUCUAUUUUAUAAAUCAUUCUUAAACCAAUUAUUCAAAAAUUAACUCACAUAAACAAGUUAUGCCAUUUUAUUACAUUUUUCAUGUAUAAGCUCAAUUCAUCUUCACUAAGCCACAUAUAGACAUCUUUAAUUCAUAUCUCAUCUAAUAAUCAAAAUCUUAUUCAAUUCACUCUUUCUGCACUGCCUUAACUUAAGAGAAUAAACUGUUUCUCCUUGGAACUCUCCUGGGUUAGAGACUCAUACUAUUGGAAACCUCUUUGAGUCUAGUUUUAUUUAAAAAAAAGUAGGUUGAAAAACUCCAAGUGGUUUAAGAGAUAUGACCGUUCUCCCACAGUCUACCAUAUUCGGCAGUUUCGUGCAACUGGAAGUUUCGAAUUUUGAAAAAUAGUAAACAUUUCCGAAAUGACUUGAAAUUUUAUGGGUAGCUAGAUAACACAUUAAUAUUUUACCAUAAAAAUUUGGAAAGCAAAAACUCAGGGUAAGCUACUGAAAAUGGUGACUCUAAGGUCUGUUCUUCUAAACUUUCGGUAGAAAGUUGCAGUUGGGGUUUUGCAUUUUAAAAGGGUAGUAAAUGAAGUCCAAAUGACUUGAAAUUUUACAUGGACGCUCAUAACACUCUGAUAUACGCACCAUAAAAUUUUCAAGAUUUUUAGGAAUCAAGAACCCUGUCGAAAUUCAUCAAGUCAGUAGCUUUUUAAAGGUUUUCAAAAUAACUCAUCAACUUGCCAACUUUAAGCAUAUAGCCAACUAUACCCUAUUUUUCAUCAAACUAACUCACUUCAAUAUUCAUCAAACACCUUUAAUCAUCAUUCUAAUCCAUCAAAUAUCAUCUCAAUAAUCUCAAUAGCUCAUAUUCAUAACCAAAUCAACAAUCCAUCCAUGAACUUCAAACUUCUCAAAAUCAUGUAAACUAACCCAUCUAAAAAAUUCACAUAUCGAUUUAAAUCCAUCCUUUGCAUGUAGAAAUGGACUAAAUAGGAUCUCAAUAGCAUGAAUAUAUUCUCAAUAUAAGAUAAGAAGAUGAAAAAAACAAUUUGAAGGCUUCCAACCCUAAAGUUUUCGAAAAUUACAAACUUGAAUUAGAAGUUGUUUUCAUGCUAUAAUCAUCCAUAUUCAUGCUUAUAUAUCUCAAAUAUGAUUAGAUUUAGAUAAAUCUAACACUUACUCAAUGAUUUUUGAGUAGAAAAUGAAAAUCUCCUCUUGACUUCAAGCUUUAAAAACCUUCCAUAGUUGCUCUUGAUUUGAAGUGUAUAGAUGUUUAGAGCUUGUUUUAAUGGAAGCUUAUGGUAUAGAAAUGAUCUAUGAAGCUUUGUAUAUGAUCAUCAAUGGAGGAUGAUGAAGAAAAUUGGGAGAGAAGAGAGAGAGGGAGGGGACGGUUCUAUGGGUGAGAAAUGAGGGAAUGAAU
RNAcentral lists this long non-coding RNA (6084 nucleotides) under Salvia miltiorrhiza (redroot sage). Its description in RNAcentral is "long non-coding RNA (SMIL_LNC000632)". The record is from RNAcentral. Lineage: Eukaryota; Viridiplantae; Streptophyta; Magnoliopsida; Lamiales; Lamiaceae.